UACGGAGGGCGCAAGCGUUAAUCGGAAUUACUGGGCGUAAAGCGUGCGCAGGCGGUUUGCUAAGUCAGGUGUGAAAUCCCCGGGCUUAACCUGGGAACUGCGCUUGUUACUGGCAGGCUUGAGUGUGGCAGAGGGGGGUGGAAUUCCACGUGUAGCAGUGAAAUGCGUAGAGAUGUGGAGGAACACCGAUGGCGAAGGCAGCCCCCUGGGCUAACACUGACGCUCAUGCACGAAAGCGUGGGGAGCAAACAGG
This 253-nucleotide ribosomal RNA is filed under the name uncultured bacterium. RNAcentral describes it as "partial 16S ribosomal RNA". It matches the Rfam family "Bacterial small subunit ribosomal RNA", at positions 524 to 776 of the family's 1533-position model. The record is from RNAcentral.